CGGCGAGUGAAGCGGCAACAGCUCAAAUUUGAAAUCUGGCUCUUUCAGGGUCCGAGUUGUAAUUUGUAGAGGAUGUUUCGGGUGUGGCUCCGGUCUAAGUUCCUUGGAACAGGACGUCAUAGAGGGUGAGAAUCCCGUAUGUGACUGGUAGCCUAUGCUCAUGUGAAACUCCUUCGACGAGUCGAGUUGUUUGGGAAUGCAGCUCAAAAUGGGUGGUAAAUUUCAUCUAAAGCUAAAUAUUGGCCAGAGACCGAUAGCGCACAAGUAGAGUGAUCGAAAGAUGAAAAGCACUUUGGAAAGAGAGUUAAACAGUACGUGAAAUUGUUGAAAGGGAAGCGCUUGCAACCAGACUUGCAUGUAGCUGAUCAACCGGUGUUCUCACCGGUGCACUCAGUUACGUUCAGGCCAGCAUCGGUUUCGACGGUUGGAUAAAGGCCUUGGGAAUGUAGCUCCUCUCGGGGAGUGUUAUAGCCCAGGGUGCAAUGCAGCCUGUUGGGACCGAGGACCGCGCUUCGGCUAGGAUGCUGGCGUAAUGGUUGUAAGCGACCCGUCUUGAAACACGGACCAAGGAGUCUAACAUCUAUGCGAGUGUUUGGGUGUCAAACCCAUACGCGUAAUGAAAGUGAACGGAGGUGAGAACCCUUAAGGGUGCAUCAUCGACCGAUCCUGAUGUCUUCGGAUGGAUUUGAGUAAGAGCAUAGCUGUUGGGACCCGAAAGAUGGUGAACUAUGCCUGAAUAGGGUGAAGCCAGAGGAAACUCUGGUGGAGGCUCGCAGCGGUUCUGACGUGCAAAUCGAUCGUCAAAUUUGGGUAUAG
Molecule: ribosomal RNA, 816 nt
Filed under: Phacidium mollerianum
Lineage: Eukaryota; Fungi; Ascomycota; Leotiomycetes; Phacidiales; Phacidiaceae
Description: eukaryotic LSU rRNA
Rfam family: Eukaryotic large subunit ribosomal RNA
Source: RNAcentral